Small nucleolar RNA from Oncorhynchus tshawytscha (Chinook salmon), 135 nucleotides. The record is from Ensembl. Lineage: Eukaryota; Metazoa; Chordata; Actinopteri; Salmoniformes; Salmonidae.
CUUCAGUGAUGAUAUGAUAAUGAGUUGGAACAGGACAGUUUGUCUCUGGUCAGUGUCACGUUCUGUCUCUCUGGGUUCAGUUCCCCACAACGGCGCGUCUCUUACUGAAGACAUCAAGGCGUUUGUCUGAGAAGA